This 72-nucleotide transfer RNA is filed under the name Candidatus Levyibacteriota bacterium. Its description in RNAcentral is "tRNA-Glu". It matches the Rfam family "tRNA". From Rfam's summary of the family: Transfer RNA (tRNA) molecules are approximately 80 nucleotides in length. Their secondary structure includes four short double-helical elements and three loops (D, anti-codon, and T loops). Lineage: Bacteria; Candidatus Levyibacteriota. The record is from RNAcentral.
GGCCCCAUCGUCCAGUGGUUAGGACACCAGAUUCUCAUUCUGGUAACCGGGAUUCGACUUCCCGUGGGGUCA